GAUGAAGAACGUAGCGAAAUGCGAUAAGUAAUGUGAAUUGCAGAAUUCAGUGAAUCAUCGAAUCUUUGAACGCACCUUGCGCUCCUUGGUAUUCCGAGGAGCAUGCCUGUUUGAGUGUCAUGAAAUUCUCAACCUUUUCAGCUUUCUUUGUUGAUCAGGCUUGGAUGUGGGAGUAUGCGGGCUUCUCAGAAGUCGGCUCUCCUGAAAUGCAUUAGCGGGACCUUUGUUGCCUGGCUUUGGUGUGAUAAUUAUCUACGCCAUUGUAGUCAAGCAGCUUAAAAUGAGGUUUCAGCUUCUAACCGUCUCCCCUGAGACAACUUUUUGACAAUAUGACCUCAAAUCAGGUAGGACUACCCGCUGAACUUAAGCAUAUCAAUAAGCGGAGGA
RNAcentral lists this unclassified non-coding RNA (387 nucleotides) under soil metagenome. RNAcentral describes it as "partial contains 5.8S ribosomal RNA, internal transcribed spacer 2, and large subunit ribosomal RNA". The stretch from base 1 to 120 matches the Rfam family "5.8S ribosomal RNA", at positions 35 to 154 of the family's 154-position model. The record is from RNAcentral.